UCGAUCUCAAAUCAGGUAGGACUACCCGCUGAACUUAAGCAUAUCAAUAAGCGGAGGAAAAGAAACUAACAAGGAUUCCCCUAGUAACUGCGAGUGAAGCGGGAAGAGCUCAAAUUUAAAAUCUGGCGUGCCUCUGGUCGUCCGAAUUGUAGUCUGGAGAAGCGUUUUCCGUGUCGGACCGUGUAUAAGUCUCUUGGAACAGGGCGUCAUAGAGGGUGAGAAUCCCGUCUUUGACAUGGACUACCGAUGCUUUGUGAUGCGCUCUCAAAGAGUCGAGUUGUUUGGGAAUGCAGCUCAAAAUGGGUGGUAAAUUCCAUCUAAAGCUAAAUAUAGGCGAGAGACCGAUAGCGAACAAGUACCGUGAGGGAAAGAUGAAA
RNAcentral lists this ribosomal RNA (377 nucleotides) under uncultured Thelephoraceae. Its description in RNAcentral is "eukaryotic LSU rRNA". It matches the Rfam family "Eukaryotic large subunit ribosomal RNA", at positions 1 to 369 of the family's 3401-position model. The record is from RNAcentral. Lineage: Eukaryota; Fungi; Basidiomycota; Agaricomycetes; Thelephorales; Thelephoraceae.